CGCUCCCUGCAGGGUUCAAAGGCUGUCGCUGUCAGCUGAGACAGCAUUCAGCUCUGAUGAUAAGAAAAAAGACUUUUCAUGUCUUCAGGGGGGCUUUGAGUCGCUCCCGCCACCUGAUCAGAGAGCAGGGUCGGGACAGAGCGAUGACAGACCCCAUGUCGACCAAUCGCGCCCUUUUCUUUCUCCUCAGGUGUUCAGCAGCACACCACACUUUGGACUGUAACAUUUAUGGCCGCCAUAUAGUCUGAGAGGAACGAGAGCAAGGGCAAACACUGCAACAAGAAACCUCGGCAGACAAAUGCUACAAUGGCUUGGAGUGAACGCUAGACGAAUACCCAGGGUAAGAGAGCCGAUGACGGCGGUCCCCAGCUUGACACCUCGGCUCUCCGAGAUGUAAUUACAGGAGCCGCGGCGACGACGCUUCUGUCUCUGCAGCAACGUAAUGAGACAGAAAGAAGCUGAGGGACCUGCCUGUGUGGAGACGAGUGGUGGGAAAGAAUACGAAUAAG
This is a long non-coding RNA of Acanthopagrus latus (yellowfin seabream), 509 nucleotides long. RefSeq lists it as uncharacterized. The transcript is spliced from 3 exons. The record is from RefSeq and is a predicted model, not a curated record. NCBI's taxonomy places the organism in Eukaryota, Metazoa, Chordata, Actinopteri, Spariformes, Sparidae.